Molecule: ribosomal RNA, 799 nt
Filed under: uncultured Pelagibacterales bacterium
Lineage: Bacteria; Pseudomonadati; Pseudomonadota; Alphaproteobacteria; Candidatus Pelagibacterales
Description: bacterial SSU rRNA
Rfam family: Bacterial small subunit ribosomal RNA
Source: RNAcentral
CUGAUGCAGCGAUGCCGCGUGAGUGAAGAAGGCCCUUGGGUUGUAAAGCUCUUUCGUCGGGGAAGAAAAUGACUGUACCCGAAUAAGAAGGUCCGGCUAACUUCGUGCCAGCAGCCGCGGUAAUACGAAGGGACCUAGCGUAGUUCGGAAUUACUGGGCUUAAAGAGUUCGUAGGUGGUUGAAAUAGUUGGUGGUGAAAUCCCAGAGCUUAACUCUGGAACUGCCAUUAAAACUUUUCAGCUAGAGUAUGAUAGAGGAAAGCAGAAUUUCUAGUGUAGAGGUGAAAUUCGUAGAUAUUAGAAAGAAUACCAAUUGCGAAGGCAGCUUUCUGGAUCAUUACUGACGCUGAGGAACGAAAGCAUGGGUAGCGAAGAGGAUUAGAUACCCUCGUAGUCCAUGCCGUAAACGAUGUGUGUUAGACGUUGGAAAUUUAUUUUCAGUGUCGCAGGGAAACCGAUAAACACACCGCCUGGGGAGUACGACCGCAAGGUUAAAACUCAAAUGAAUUGACGGGGACCCGCACAAGUAGUGGAGCAUGUGGUUUAAUUCGAAGAUACGCGCAGAACCUUACCAACACUUGACAUGUUCGUCGCGACUCUGAGAGAUUAGAGUUUUCGGUUCGGCCGGACGAAACACAGGUGCUGCAUGGCUGUCGUCAGCUCGUGUCGUGAGAUGUUGGGUUAAGUCCCGCAACGAGCGCAACCCUCACUUUUAGUUGCCAUCAUUAAGUUGGGCACUCUGAAAGAACUGCCAGUGAUAAGCUGGAGGAAGGUGGGGAUGACGUCAAGUCCUCAUGGCC